CCUACGGGUGGCUGCAGUGAGGAAUAUUGGUCAAUGGGCGGAAGCCUGAACCAGCCAAGUAGCGUGCAGGAUGACGGCCCUACGGGUUGUAAACUGCUUUUAUACGGGAAUAACGCGCCUUACGUGUAGGGCUUUGCAUGUACCGUAUGAAUCAGGACCGGCUAAUUCCGUGCCAGCAGCCGCGGUAAUCCGGAAGGUCCGGGCGUUCGCCGGAUUUAUUGGGGUUAAAGGGAGCGUAGGCCGCAUGUCAAGCGUGCUGUGAAAUGUCCGGGCUCAACCCGGGCCUUGCAGCGCGAACUGGCGUGCUUGAGUCCGCGGAAAGCAGGCGGAAGUCGUCGUGUAGCGGUGAAAUGCGUAGAUAUGACGAAGAACCCCGAUGGCGAAGGCAGCUUGCUGCAGCGGAACUGACGCUGAUGCGCGAAAGCGUGGGUAUCGAACAGGAUUAGAUACCCUGGUAGUC
This 460-nucleotide ribosomal RNA is filed under the name uncultured bacterium. RNAcentral's name for it is "partial 16S ribosomal RNA". It matches the Rfam family "Bacterial small subunit ribosomal RNA", at positions 338 to 795 of the family's 1533-position model. The record is from RNAcentral.